Molecule: ribosomal RNA, 406 nt
Filed under: uncultured bacterium
Lineage: Bacteria
Description: partial 16S ribosomal RNA
Rfam family: Bacterial small subunit ribosomal RNA
Source: RNAcentral
AUUGAACGCUGGCGGCAGGCCUAACACAUGCAAGUCGAACGAGUGGCGGACGGGUGAGUAAUGUAUGGGAAACUGACUGAUGGAGGGGGAUAACUACUGGAAACGGUAGCUACUACCGCAUACCAUCAGAUGUGCCCAGAUGGGCUUAGCUUGUUGGUGGGGUAACGGCUCACCAAGGCGACGAUCCCUAGCGGGUCUGCGAGGAUGAGCAUCCACACUGGAACUGAGAAACGGGCCAGACUCCUCCGGGAGGAAGCAGUGGGGAAUAUUGGACAAUGGGCGAAAGCCUGAUGCAGCCAUGCCGCGUGUAGGAAGAAGGCCUUCGGGUUGUAAAGUACUUUCAGCGGUGAGGCGUUACCCGCAGAAGAAGCAACGGCUAACUCCGUGCCAGCAGCCGCGGUAAUUC